UCCCGGAGCUGGGGAUCCCGGGCCAGCGCGCCCCCUCGCUGCUCGCCUGGCCUUGCUUUUCCCUGGGCUUUGGCGAUGUGAGCUCGGGUCAUCGGGAGGAAGGGAGACGUGGCCAACCACCCGGAUGUCUGCAGGUGCCGUCCAGGCGGCGAGCGGGACAGGCGCGAGGCGUCGCGUGCAACCCUCGGGGCAGCUGAUUUCAGCUAUUUCCAGGGGCCAGAGCCUGCGUGUGGGAGACGGAUACCACAGUAGACAGACGCUUGCAUUCCCGGCCUCGCCUUCCCCUCGGUCCUCAGGUUUCAACCGCUGGGUUCCCUCCGCGUGAUGGGAAGAAAAGUUAAUUCUUAAAUGGCGGCUGGAACCAAGCUGAAGUGCGCUGACAGCCCUCACGCCCGCUCUCGACAUCUCUCAUGAGGGCGAGGAUCUCACAAUGGCAGAUGCUGGUCAAUUAGGCAGAAAUACUUUCAUCUUGAAAAAGAGAGAGGAAAAAAGGAUUUAAAGACCCAAAGGUAUUUUUGGCUGACAUGAGUGUAAUUAAUUUCUUCACAAGACAAAAUGGACAGAAAAUGAAUGCCAUUAAGGGCCGAGUUUUUAUGCUGCCAAACCGACAAAUCAAUUCAGGGCAAGCAGCAGGCUGGCGUGUUGUUUUUUUCCCCGCAGUUUUUUUUUUAUCUUUGUUAAAUAGAAUUAACAAUGAAAAGUCGAGCGAGUUGACGUAGAUUUUUUGAUUUCCAGUUAGCCGUGUACAAUGGGGUCAUGUGGCGGCCCUGGGUUGGCACUCCCGGGUGGAAGUCAUCGUGGAGGCGGAGUGGCGUCCACCCCUUUGGGUGUGGCUGGCAUCUCGAGUGCAUCGGCCCCCACGGGGCCUGCAUCACACACUUGCUGUCUGUGAGCCCUGAAGAGGGAACCGCCUUCAGCGCGAGUGCUCAGUGGGAGGUCUCACUCCUCUCCUCAUCUAAGUACCAGGCUAAGCUAAGUACCAGGCACAGGGUAGGUGCUUAAGAAAUAAUAAUAGAACAGUCCACUGAAGUUCCUUGUAUUUUCCCAUUUGUCGCCAAGCUCUUGACCCUUAGGCAUUGGUACCUUGAUGAAAAUCUCAGUUUUUCUCAGUGUUAGGAGUUCCCUUUCAUCAAUAAGACAUCUCCCUAAAUGCAUUUAUAAACAUCUU
Molecule: long non-coding RNA, 1168 nt
Organism: Myotis daubentonii (Daubenton's bat)
Lineage: Eukaryota; Metazoa; Chordata; Mammalia; Chiroptera; Vespertilionidae
Source: RefSeq, a predicted model, not a curated record